Trichonephila clavata is the source of this 74-nucleotide non-coding RNA. NCBI's taxonomy places the organism in Eukaryota, Metazoa, Arthropoda, Arachnida, Araneae, Nephilidae. The record is from the annotation of a GenBank genome assembly.
CGUCCUGUAGCGCAAUGGGUAGCGCGUUGAACCUCUAAUCCAAAGGUCGUGAGUUUGAAUCCCACCUGGGAUGG